RNAcentral lists this ribosomal RNA (403 nucleotides) under uncultured bacterium. RNAcentral's name for it is "partial 16S ribosomal RNA". It matches the Rfam family "Bacterial small subunit ribosomal RNA", at positions 30 to 526 of the family's 1533-position model. The record is from RNAcentral.
AUUGAACGCUGGCGGCAGGCCUAACACAUGCAAGUCGAGCGAGCGGCGGACGGGUGAGUAAUGUAUGGGGACUGCCCGAUAGAGGGGGAUAACUACUGGAAAAGGUAGCUAAUAUCCCAUACUAUCGGAUAACCCAUAUGGGAUUAGCUAGUUGGUGAGGUAAUGGCUCACCAAGGCGACGAUCCCUAGCUGGUCUGCGAGGAUGAUCAGCCACACUGGGACGAAGACACGGCCCAGACUCCUCCGGAGGCAGCAGUUGGGAAUAUUGCACAAUGGGCGCAAGCCUGAUGCAGCCAGGCCGCGUGUAUGAAGAAGGCCCUAGGGUUGUAAACCUCUUUCGCUAUCGAACGGUUAGGUGGAGAAGAAGCGCCGGCUAACUACGUGCCAGCAGCCGCGGUAAUAC